This 90-nucleotide ribosomal RNA is filed under the name Selaginella willdenowii. RNAcentral describes it as "partial 5.8S ribosomal RNA". It matches the Rfam family "5.8S ribosomal RNA", at positions 64 to 154 of the family's 154-position model. From Rfam's summary of the family: 5.8S ribosomal RNA (5.8S rRNA) is a component of the large subunit of the eukaryotic ribosome. It is transcribed by RNA polymerase I as part of the 45S precursor that also contains 18S and 28S rRNA. The record is from RNAcentral. Lineage: Eukaryota; Viridiplantae; Streptophyta; Lycopodiopsida; Selaginellales; Selaginellaceae.
CUUGUGAAUUGCAGAAUUCCGUGAAUCAUCGAAUCUUUGAACGCACAUUGCGCCUGAGGCUUGUCCAAGGGCAUGUCUGCCUGAGCGUCU